RNAcentral lists this unclassified non-coding RNA (184 nucleotides) under uncultured fungus. RNAcentral describes it as "sequence contains ITS1". The record is from RNAcentral. Lineage: Eukaryota; Fungi.
UUGAUUGAUUCAAAUAUUGACUCGGACGCAGAGAUGCAGAGUUGUGAGGUCCGUCGGGGGCCCCGGCGCCCGAAGACGGUCCGGGUCGCCCCCGAGGCAACGGGGUCGGUUAACAUGGGGUUGGAGGUCGGGCCCGGGGGGCCCUCGCUCGGUAAUGAUCCCUCCGCAGGUUCACCUACGGAGA